RNAcentral lists this ribosomal RNA (460 nucleotides) under uncultured bacterium. RNAcentral's name for it is "partial 16S ribosomal RNA". It matches the Rfam family "Bacterial small subunit ribosomal RNA", at positions 338 to 795 of the family's 1533-position model. The record is from RNAcentral.
CCUACGGGAGGCAGCAGUGAGGAAUAUUGGUCAAUGGCCGAGAGUCUGAACCAGCCAAGUAGCGUGAAGGAUGACUGCCCUAUGGGUUGUAAACUUCUUUUAUAAAGGAAUAAAACGAGGCACGUGUGCCUUUUUGCAUGUACUUUAUGAAUAAGGAUCGGCUAACUCCGUGCCAGCAGCCGCGGUAAUACGGAGGAUCCGAGCGUUAUCCGGAUUUAUUGGGUUUAAAGGGUGCGUAGACGGGUUGUUAAGUCAGUUGUGAAAGUUUGCGGCUCAACCGUAAAAUUGCAAGUGAUACUGGCAGUCUUGAGAAGAGUUGAGGUAGGCGGAAUUCGUGGUGUAGCGGUGAAAUGCUUAGAUAUCACGAAGAACCCCGAGUGCGAAGGCAGCUUACUAACCUGUGUCUGACAUUGAGGCACGAAAGUGUGGGUAUCAAACAGGAUUAGAUACCCCUGUAGUC